RNAcentral lists this ribosomal RNA (497 nucleotides) under uncultured bacterium. RNAcentral's name for it is "partial 16S ribosomal RNA". It matches the Rfam family "Bacterial small subunit ribosomal RNA", at positions 28 to 507 of the family's 1533-position model. The record is from RNAcentral.
GAUGAACGCUGGCGGCGUGCCUAAUACAUGCAAGUCGAGCGAACGGACGAGAAGCUUGCUUCUCUGAUGUUAGCGGCGGACGGGUGAGUAACACGUGGAUAACCUACCUAUAAGACUGGGAUAACUUCGGGAAACCGGAGCUAAUACCGGAUAAUAUUUUGAACCGCAUGGUUCAAAAGUGAAAGACGGUCUUGCUGUCACUUAUAGAUGGAUCCGCGCUGCAUUAGCUAGUUGGUAAGGUAACGGCUUACCAAGGCAACGAUGCAUAGCCGACCUGAGAGGGUGAUCGGCCACACUGGAAGUGAGACACGGUCCAGACUCCUGCGGGAGGCAGCAGUAGGGAAUCUUCCGCAAUGGGCGAAAGCCUGACGGAGCAACGCCGCGUGAGUGAUGAAGGUCUUCGGAUCGUAAAACUCUGUUAUUAGGGAAGAACAUAUGUGUAAGUAACUGUGCACAUCUUGACGGUACCUAAUCAGAAAGCCACGGCUAACUACGUG